RNAcentral lists this ribosomal RNA (517 nucleotides) under uncultured microorganism. Its description in RNAcentral is "bacterial SSU rRNA". It matches the Rfam family "Bacterial small subunit ribosomal RNA", at positions 9 to 524 of the family's 1533-position model. The record is from RNAcentral.
GAGUUUGAUCCUGGCUCAGGAUGAACGCUGGCGGCGUGCUUAACACAUGCAAGUCGAACGAAGCGCCUUAUUUGAUUUUCUUCGGAACUGAAGAUUUGGUGACUGAGUGGCGGACGGGUGAGUAACGCGUGGGUAACCUGCCCUGUACAGGGGGAUAACAAUCAGAAAUGACUGCUAAUACCGCAUAAGACCACAGCACCGCAUGGUGCAGGGGUAAAAACUCCGGUGGUACAGGAUGGACCCGCGUCUGAUUAGCUGGUUGGUGAGGUAACGGCUCACCAAGGCGACGAUCAGUAGCCGGCUUGAGAGAGUGAACGGCCACAUUGGGACUGAGACACGGCCCAAACUCCUACGGGAGGCAGCAGUGGGGAAUAUUGCACAAUGGGGGAAACCCUGAUGCAGCAACGCCGCGUGAGUGAAGAAGUAUUUCGGUAUGUAAAGCUCUAUCAGCAGGGAAGAAAGUGACGGUACCUGACUAAGAAGCCCCGGCUAACUACGCGCCAGCAGCCGCCGCGGU